Long non-coding RNA from Coregonus clupeaformis (lake whitefish), 1135 nucleotides. RefSeq lists it as uncharacterized. NCBI's taxonomy places the organism in Eukaryota, Metazoa, Chordata, Actinopteri, Salmoniformes, Salmonidae. The transcript is spliced from 2 exons. The record is from RefSeq and is a predicted model, not a curated record.
UAUACAAUUAUCCACCUUGUCCGAAAGUCUCUACUUGGUCUCCGUUCUCCAGUAAACUUGUGAUCAUCAACAGGCAUCAGAGGGUUUGUGCCUAUCAUCAUCAUCAUCAUCAUAAUAGAGAGCUGAUCCUCUGCAAACAUUUCCCACUCUCUUUCACACACACACAUCCACACUAACCCUGUUCUCCGUGGCAUGUCUCUUGGUGUCCUCAGGAACAGUGAUCUGUGACGCAUGCAGUCUGGCUGCUGAGGGAGAGGCAGACAUCCAGAACAACUUCUGCAAGAGUCCAUAUGCCUUUAAACUGCGUAUCGGGAGUGUGUCUGUGGAGGGGGGUGACUGCAGGUUAGUCCUCUGGGCCGGAGUCGCAUCCUGAGGUGCAAGGGCGGAGGCGCGGAGAGGGCCGAGGGGGGGGCAAUGGCCUACAGUGCCUUUUGGCUGCAGGAGGGGGGUACCUGCACCUGUCCUGCCCUGGAGGAGGCGAAGGGAGAGGGGAAGGGGUCCCUGGCAGGGUUGUGGUACCUGGGCCACGCUGACACACAGGAGGGCAGGCUGGUCCUCUCUAGGCUGGUGAUCUGGAGGAGGGGGGGCAAAGAACUCAAGAAGUUCAUCAGGAGACUGCUCAAACAACCCUGCUGAUGAUGUCAUCAAACAAUCAUAGAGAGACUUUCCAAUUUGGCCAAUUGGAUGCGGAUGAGAGGACACCACAGCCCUGUUACAUUUCAGCCCCUAGGCCUAGAUCCUAUCCCUUCCAUAUCCCUUUAAUAUUUAUUUCAUAUUCAUAUCAUCUAGCUCUGGAGAAGUGGUGCCUUCAUCAUAUCUAUCCAGUCUGUUCAGAUCUAUGAAGACCUGUGGGGAAGGGGCUAGGCAGAAGGGAGACCAUCAGAGGACCAGUGUUUGUUUGUUUGGGUCCAUGUUCUGGACACCUGUCACAUAUGAAUUAUGAAGUUGAGGUUGUUUUUUAUCAAAUGUGAGGACAUGAUUAUGAUUUGUGUGAGCCGAGUCAGAGGACACAGUUACCAGUGAGGCACAGAGCAGCAUUAGUUCCAUUCAAAGCAGAGUAUUAUUGUCUGAUAGUAGAGACUGAUCAGAGACUGCUGUUUAACAGUGUCUAAUAAACAUUAUAUUGAGCUGUAAA